GAUGAACGCUGGCGGCGUGCCUAAUACAUGCAAGUCGAGCGAACAGACGAGGAGCUUGCUCCUCUGACGUUAGCGGCGGACGGGGGAGUAACACGUGGAUAACCUACCUAUAAGACUGGGAUAACUUCGGGAAACCGGAGCUAAUACCGGAUAAUAUAUUGAACCGCAUGGUUCAAUAGUGAAAGACGGUUUUGCUGUCACUUAUAGAUGGAUCCGCGCCGCAUUAGCUAGUUGGUAAGGUAACGGCUUACCAAGGCAACGAUGCGUAGCCGACCUGAGAGGGUGAUCGGCCACACUGGAACUGAGACACGGUCCAGACUACUACGGGAGGCAGCAGUAGGGAAUCUUACGCAAUGGGCGAAAGCUUGACGGAGCAACGCCGCGUGAGUGAUGAAGGUCUUCGGAUCGUAAAACUCUGUUAUUAGGGAAGAACAAAUGUGUAAGUAACUAUGCACGUCUUGACGGUACCUAAUCAGAAAGCCACGGCUAACUACGUG
RNAcentral lists this ribosomal RNA (497 nucleotides) under uncultured bacterium. Its description in RNAcentral is "partial 16S ribosomal RNA". It matches the Rfam family "Bacterial small subunit ribosomal RNA", at positions 28 to 507 of the family's 1533-position model. The record is from RNAcentral.